CUCAGGGCAGGGCUGAAGGUGUUACCACAAAGGGGGAAUGACUUCAUAAGUCUCCCACUGAGCUGCCACAAAGCCAAAUGAAAAUAUCUCCAGUUCCCUGGGGACCAGUAAGGCUAUUAGAUUAGAGCUCAGGUGAAGACUAUUUGAUGAGUCAGUCUUCAGAGGAAAAGCCACGGUUGUAAUAGCAUUGGCUUGCCAAAGAUAAAACAGCAUUUAAAAACCAGGUAAUUUUACACACACACACACAUACACACAGACACACACUCUCACUCUCUCUCUGUUUAGAAUUUUUUGCCCUCUAGCCUACUUUUUAAGGAGGCUCUUACCUAAGGAUGGGCUUAAAUUUUUUUUUUUUUUCAGACAGGGUCUCACUCUGUUGCCCAGGCUGGAGUACAGUGACAGGAUCACUGAAGUCUCUACCUCCUCAGGCUUAAGCAGAUCCUUCUACCUCAGCCUCCUGGGUAGGUGGGGCUACAGGUGCACACAAAGACUGUUGAGGAUUACAGCUCAAUCAACAGACAGAAGAACUCCAUCUUAAGCAGAAGGCAAUGCUAGUUUUAUCUCUGAGGACCAACACUGUAACCUUGAACGAGGUUAAAUUAACCUUGCUUAAAUUUUCUGAGCCUCCAUGUCCUCAUCUGUAAAAUAGGAACAAUAUUAUUGCUUAGCUUGGAGAGCUGUUGUGAGAAUUGGAUGAUACAAGCAUGUAUAGCGUGUAUAGCACAGAGCCAGGCAUAUGAAAAACACUCUAUAAUUGAGCUCUUAUAAUUAUUAUAAUACUCUGAUAAUUAUUACAGUAACCCAGAGGCCUUCUGGUGGGGUAGAAAGAUCACUGGCUUAGGAGCCAGAAACUGGGGAACCCGCAUUUAAAGUAUCAUUCAAAAGGUAGCUGUGCCUAUUACUGAUUUCACGUAUGAUGUCCCAUUCCCCAAUGCAAUUUAAAUGGCAGUGGUGUUACACACAUUCUCUCUCCCCACUAAGACGUGAGAAAUAACGGGGAAAAGUCAAAGUUUGACAAAGAGUGUUUCCAUUUAAUUUAUGGAGUAGGCUACCUUUAUGACCUUUUUUUUUUCUUAAAUGUUCUGCACAUCUCGUCUCGCAGGGAAUGUUCCAAGCAUUCAAAUGCAAAUGAGCACCGAGCCAGCCUCCACUGAUUUGCAUUCGC
This 1165-nucleotide long non-coding RNA is filed under the name Homo sapiens (human). RNAcentral describes it as "non-protein coding lnc-PPP1R3B-7:1". The record is from RNAcentral. Lineage: Eukaryota; Metazoa; Chordata; Mammalia; Primates; Hominidae.